Molecule: ribosomal RNA, 497 nt
Filed under: uncultured bacterium
Lineage: Bacteria
Description: partial 16S ribosomal RNA
Rfam family: Bacterial small subunit ribosomal RNA
Source: RNAcentral
UUGAACGCUGGCGGCAGGCCUAACACAUGCAAGUCGAGCGGCAGCGCGGGGCAACCUGGCGGCGAGCGGCGAACGGGUGAGUAACGCGUAGGAAUCUACCCAGUAGCGGGGGAUAGCCCGGGGAAACUCGGAUUAAUACCGCAUACGCCCUAAGGGGGAAAGCAGGGGAUCUUCGGACCUUGCACUAUUGGAAGAGCCUGCGUUGGAUUAGCUAGUUGGUAGGGUAAAGGCCUACCAAGGCGACGAUCCAUAGCUGGUCUGAGAGGAUGAUCAGCCACACCGGAACUGAGACACGGUCCGGACUCCUACGGGAGGCAGCAGUGGGGAAUAUUGGACAAUGGGGGCAACCCUGAUCCAGCCAUGCCGCGUGUGUGAAGAAGGCCUUCGGGUUGUAAAGCACUUUAAGUGGGGAGAAAGGCUCGGCAGCUAAUAUCUGCCGGGAUUGAUGCUACCCACAGAAUAAGCACCGGCUAACUCUGUGCCAGCCGCCGCAGUAA